This 328-nucleotide unclassified non-coding RNA is filed under the name Hevea brasiliensis (rubber tree). The record is from RNAcentral. Lineage: Eukaryota; Viridiplantae; Streptophyta; Magnoliopsida; Malpighiales; Euphorbiaceae.
GGUAGAUCUUGUUUCUUUUUAGUCUAUUUUGUUGUUUUAUUAUCGUUACAUAAACUGGGCGAUUGCAAUGAUGAUAACAUUUCCCAGCUCAUUAUGAGAUCUUAUAUUUAAGGUCCGGGAAUAUACUCAUUUUCCAACAUAUAUAUCUGAGCUUCGCCUUUCGUUUCUUAAUUGAUUAUCUUAAUGCAAAAUCAAUAUGAUGUGUUUAUUUUAUUUGCUUCCUUUUGGAUUCUGUUUAGUCAAUUAUGUUUAAAUUUGGCAAUUGCAAUGAUGUUUACCUUAAUCCCAGCUCUAUGAGACCUUGGUCUUGGAUUAAACUUGGUUUCCA